CAGAACCCGCCUCCAAACCCUAAUCGGCACCCCGGCCGAGCGCCUAGUCCAUAUCUUCUGCAUCGUCCCCCGCCAGCCUCUCAUCCAUGACAACCUCCUCUUCCGCUACCCAUCAGACGCAGAGCUGGUCGACCAUCUUGCUCAAUCCGACUCCUCCCUCCGCCGGUGCAGGGAGGAAGGCUCCACUGAUCCGAACGAGCCAUGGAGGGUGAAAAUUCAGUCCGUG
RNAcentral lists this unclassified non-coding RNA (226 nucleotides) under Hevea brasiliensis (rubber tree). The record is from RNAcentral. Lineage: Eukaryota; Viridiplantae; Streptophyta; Magnoliopsida; Malpighiales; Euphorbiaceae.